GUGCUCGCUUUGGCAGCACACAUACUAAAAUUGGAACAAUACAGAGAAGAUUAGCAUGCCCCUGCGCAAGGAUGACACACAAAUUUGUGAAGCAUUCCAUAUUUUU
RNAcentral lists this small nuclear RNA (106 nucleotides) under Dasypus novemcinctus (nine-banded armadillo). Lineage: Eukaryota; Metazoa; Chordata; Mammalia; Cingulata; Dasypodidae. The record is from RNAcentral.